RNAcentral lists this ribosomal RNA (470 nucleotides) under uncultured Methanomicrobiales archaeon. RNAcentral describes it as "bacterial SSU rRNA". It matches the Rfam family "Archaeal small subunit ribosomal RNA", at positions 871 to 1337 of the family's 1478-position model. Lineage: Archaea; Methanobacteriati; Methanobacteriota; Methanomicrobia; Methanomicrobiales. The record is from RNAcentral.
ACGGGGAGCACCACAACAGGUGGAGCCUGCGGUUUAAUCGGACUCAACGCCGGGAAACUCACCAGAUAAGACAGCUGAAUGAUAGUCGGGCUGAAGACUCUACUUGACUAGCUGAGAGGAGGUGCAUGGCCGUCGUCAGUUCGUACUGUGAAGCAUCCUGUUAAGUCAGGCAACGAGCGAGACCCACGCCAACAGUUGCCAGCUCGUCCUCCGGGAUGGUGGGGACACUGUUGGGACCGCCUCUGCUAAAGAGGAGGAAGGAAUGGGCAACGGUAGGUCAGCAUGCCCCGAAUUAUCUGGGCUACACGCGGGCUACAAUGGGUGGGACAAUGGGUAUCGACACCGAAAGGUGAAGGCAAUCUCCUAAACCCAUCCGUAGUUCGGAUUGUGGGCUGCAACUCGCCCACAUGAAGCUGGAAUCUGUAGUAAUCGUGUCUCAAAAUGGCACGGUGAAUACGUCCCUGCUCCUU